This 532-nucleotide long non-coding RNA is filed under the name Salmo salar (Atlantic salmon). Its description in RNAcentral is "lncRNA (ENSSSAG00000091790.1)". The record is from RNAcentral. Lineage: Eukaryota; Metazoa; Chordata; Actinopteri; Salmoniformes; Salmonidae.
GAAUGUCCUUGUAGUUCCUGACCCAGGCAUACUGCAGAAUGUCCUUGUAGUUCAUGACCCAGGCAUACUGGAGAAUGUCCUUGUAGUUCCUGACCCAGGCAUACUGGAGAAUGUCCUUGUAGUUCAUGACCCAGGCAUACUGGAGAAUGUUCUUGUAGUUCAACUUAUCAGUCAAAAAACAAACAAAAAAACUAUAAAACCUCAGAAGUCAACAUGGUCACUAAACUGGACAAACAAGAAACAUUGGUAGGACCCUUUCUUUAGGGGUCCAGGAAAAUGUCAAAUGCUGCAUUUACACACAGGCAGCCCAAUUCGGAUGUUUCUUUCAACUAAUUGGUAUUUUGGCCAAUCAGCAGUUACUGGUGCAUUUAGGAGCAGGUAGUGGUGUGUUUAGGAGCAGGUACUGGUGUAUUUAGGAGCAGGUACUGGUGUAUUUAGGAGCAGGUACUGGUGUAUUUAGGAGCAGGUACUGGUGUAUUUAGGAGUAGGUACUGAUGUAUUUAGGAGCAGGUACUGGUGUAUUUAGGAGCAG